GAACGCUGGCGGCGUGCUUAACACAUGCAAGUCGAACGGAAAGGCCCUGCUUUUGUGGGGUGCUCGAGUGGCGAACGGGUGAGUAACACGUGAGUAACCUGCCCUUGACUUUGGGAUAACUUCAGGAAACUGGGGCUAAUACCGGAUAGGAGCUCCUGCUGCAUGGUGGGGGUUGGAAAGUUUCGGCGGUUGGGGAUGGACUCGCGGCUUAUCAGCUUGUUGGUGGGGUAGUGGCUUACCAAGGCUUUGACGGGUAGCCGGCCUGAGAGGGUGACCGGCCACAUUGGGACUGAGAUACGGCCCAGACUCCUACGGGAGGCAGCAGUGGGGAAUAUUGCACAAUGGGCGGAAGCCUGAUGCAGCAACGCCGCGUGCGGGAUGACGGCCUUCGGGUUGUAAACCGCUUUCGCCUGUGACGAAGCGUGAGGGACGGUAAUGGGUAAAGAAGCACCGGCUAACUACGU
Molecule: ribosomal RNA, 464 nt
Filed under: uncultured bacterium
Lineage: Bacteria
Description: partial 16S ribosomal RNA
Rfam family: Bacterial small subunit ribosomal RNA
Source: RNAcentral